ACGGGUGAGUAACGCGUAGGUAACCUGCCUGUUAGAGGGGGAUAACUAUUGGAAACGAUAGCUAAUACCGCAUAACAGUAUGUAACACAUGUUAGAUGCUUGAAAGAUGCAAUUGCAUCGCUAGUAGAUGGACCUGCGUUGUAUUAGCUAGUAGGUAGGGUAAUGGCCUACCUAGGCGACGAUACAUAGCCGACCUGAGAGGGUGAUCGGCCACACUGGGACUGAGACACGGCCCAGACUCCUACGGGAGGCAGCAGUAGGGAAUCUUCGGCAAUGGGGGGAACCCUGACCGAGCAACGCCGCGUGAGUGAAGAAGGUUUUCGGAUCGUAAAGCUCUGUUGUUAAGGAAGAACGAGUGUGAGAAUGGAAAGUUCAUACUGUGACGGUACUUAACCAGAAAGGGACGGCUAACUACGUGCCAGCAGCCGCGGUAAUACGUAGGUCCCGAGCGUUGUCCGGAUUUAUUGGGCGUAAAGCGAGCGCAGGCGGUUAGAAAAGUCUGAAGUGAAAGGCAGUGGCUCAACCAUUGUAGGCUUUGGAAACUGUUUAACUUGAGUGCAGAAGGAGAGAGUGGAAUUCCAUGUGUAGCGGUGAAAUGCGUAGAUAUAUGGAGGAACACCGGUGGCGAAAGCGGCUCUCUGGUCUGUAACUGACGCUGAGGCUCGAAAGCGUGGGGAGCGAACAGGAUUAGAUACCCU
Molecule: ribosomal RNA, 698 nt
Filed under: uncultured bacterium
Lineage: Bacteria
Description: bacterial SSU rRNA
Rfam family: Bacterial small subunit ribosomal RNA
Source: RNAcentral